Molecule: transfer RNA, 85 nt
Filed under: Panus rudis PR-1116 ss-1
Lineage: Eukaryota; Fungi; Basidiomycota; Agaricomycetes; Polyporales; Panaceae
Description: tRNA-His
Rfam family: tRNA
About the family: Transfer RNA (tRNA) molecules are approximately 80 nucleotides in length. Their secondary structure includes four short double-helical elements and three loops (D, anti-codon, and T loops). Further hydrogen bonds mediate the characteristic L-shaped molecular structure. tRNAs have two regions of fundamental functional importance: the anti-codon, which is responsible for specific mRNA codon recognition, and the 3' end, to which the tRNAs corresponding amino acid is attached (by aminoacyl-tRNA synthetases). tRNAs cope with the degeneracy of the genetic code in two manners: having more than one tRNA (with a specific anti-codon) for a particular amino acid; and 'wobble' base-pairing, i.e. permitting non-standard base-pairing at the 3rd anti-codon position.
Source: RNAcentral
GUCCUUGUCGAUUAGUGGUUAGAUCAUCACGUUGUGGCUUAUUCACAAAGCCGUGAAGGCGAAGGCUCGAAUCCUUCCUGGGACA